UUCCCCCUCCCUUCCUCCCUCUCCUCCCUCCCUCCCUCUUUCAGCAUCUCCCCUACCCUCUUUCUUUCUCUUCUCUCCCUCUCUCCCCUCCCUCUCUCCCCCUCCCGCUCUCUUCUCCCUCUCCCUACAAGUCUGGCACUGAAGGAGAACUGUUUUGCUUUGCUCCGGGAAGAGUGCAGACACGACGUGAAAUCCGGAGCUCUUUGCGUGGUGCAUUUAAAAUGCUUCCUUAUUUAUAUUACCCUCAUCCCCUCCCCUCUCCCACCCCCUCACCAGCCCUUCCAAAUUUCCCUAGAAAUCUGUGUAAAGCGUGGAGGGGAAAACAUUUGCUUAAAAAGUGAAGGAGCUCGCCAAGGAGUUCCCGUUUGGGUAGUCGAGCCUGUCCUGAUACCGAGUGGUGGCACGAGGGGUGAUCACCCAAGCGAGGCAGUCUCAGAGGUUACAGAAGCUGGAAAGCCUGACUGAAGGAUCUCAGGAGUCCCAGGAACUUAGUUUCGUACACGGAAAGAAAGUUUGGGAAUUUGGCAGUUCUGCUGGAUCAAGCAAAUGAAAGAAUUGUUUGCAGCUGGUGCUGGACCUGAAGCUGUGGACUUGGUGGAAGAAGACGAGUUUCUCUGAUGAAGGAGGUCUAUCUUUAGUCAAAGGUGUGUGAACAGCUGCCCAUCCCUGCUGGACCUUCAAAGGAACUUGCAAGAUGUCUAUUUCUAGAGCUAGACCAUAGCACGUAUGGGUCCUUGCAGAAGAAGAUCUAUCAAAGAGCUGGUUUCUUUGGCGGGAGAGUGGGGCUGUUGUGUUUGGAUGCAGUGAUGCCCACGAAAAUACUUGACAUGAAAACCCAGUAUUCUUUUCUCAUGAUAAUGUUAUUGCUUAAGGAAAUCAAAUAGUAACUUCUAAGUAGUUUCUAAUGCUAAAGAUUUUAUUUCUUUUAAAUUAGUUUGUUUUUUAUAGGACUUUUUUUUCCAACCCAGGAUUUGACAACUGGAGUGUAGAAUGGAAUCAUAGCUCAGUGUGUCCAGCUGGGAUGUAGCUCUGUCAGUUGACAGAGCACUUACCUAGUAGGUGCAAAGUGUGCUUCCCAGCACAGAGGAAAUGGCUUUGUUGGUAUCCGCCUAGGAUUCAAGCAUUCAGGAGCUGGAGGUUGGAGGUAACCAAGCUCAAGUGUAGGAACUUUGGAGCCAAUCUGGGUUACAUGAGACCCUGCCAAAAACAAAAAAGCAAGCACAAUGUUGAACUAUGAUCAAAUGAAGAUCAGAUAGUAGAGUGGAUGACGGGACUGUUAAGAAGAAGUAAUGAAGGGUCUGGUUCUUGUAUCAAAGGUUUAGCUAUGAUGGUAUUCUUAAAAACUCCCAACUCCUGUGACAUUUCCUGAUUAUGAAAUUUUCUUUUAUACAACAAGCUACUCCCAAUUUUGAUGUGAAAAUUGGAUAUGAAUUUGUACAUAUUUGUAUCACAGUGUAGAAAAACUGCCAAUGAAUUCUAAUGGAAAUCUGUAUUACUACAAUACAAUGUUGUUAAUUCACAUUGUAAUAGUCUUUUACAAUAAAGACUAUUCUCAACUUGAAAUCUUAUAAAUAAAUGAUUUUGAAGUCCAA
Molecule: long non-coding RNA, 1592 nt
Organism: Peromyscus californicus insignis
Lineage: Eukaryota; Metazoa; Chordata; Mammalia; Rodentia; Cricetidae
Exons: 5
Source: RefSeq, a predicted model, not a curated record